This 388-nucleotide ribosomal RNA is filed under the name uncultured bacterium. Its description in RNAcentral is "bacterial SSU rRNA". It matches the Rfam family "Bacterial small subunit ribosomal RNA", at positions 29 to 416 of the family's 1533-position model. The record is from RNAcentral.
AUUGAACGCUGGCGGCAUGCCUUACACAUGCAAGUCGAACGGCAGCACGGGAGCAAUCCUGGUGGCGAGUGGCGAACGGGUGAGUAAUAUAUCGGAACGUGCCCGGUCGUGGGGGAUAACGUAGCGAAAGCUACGCUAAUACCGCAUACGAUCUACGGAUGAAAGCGGGGGAUCGCAAGACCUCGCGCGAUUGGAGCGGCCGAUAUCAGAUUAGGUAGUUGGUGAGGUAAAGGCUCACCAAGCCGACGAUCUGUAGCUGGUCUGAGAGGACGACCAGCCACACUGGGACUGAGACACGGCCCAGACUCCUACGGGAGGCAGCAGUGGGGAAUUUUGGACAAAUGGGCGGCAAGCCUGAUCCAGCAAUGCCGCGUGCAGGAUGAAGGCC